Molecule: non-coding RNA, 72 nt
Organism: Salmo salar (Atlantic salmon)
Lineage: Eukaryota; Metazoa; Chordata; Actinopteri; Salmoniformes; Salmonidae
Source: Rfam
UCCCAUGUGGCUCAGUUGGUAGAGCAUGGUGUUUGCAAUGCCAGGGUUGUGGGUUCGAUUCCCACAGGGGAC